Camellia sinensis is the source of this 2145-nucleotide non-coding RNA. Lineage: Eukaryota; Viridiplantae; Streptophyta; Magnoliopsida; Ericales; Theaceae. The record is from RefSeq and is a predicted model, not a curated record.
UAAAACCCUAGUAUAUGCAAUUCCCCCUUAUCCAAAACCCAUACUCUCUCGAAACAGGGUUCUAAUGGCAGUGCUAUCUCCUCCUUGUCCUCUGCAACUCUUUGUUCGAUUCAGCUCUUUCCAACCCAUUCAUCUCUCUCCCUCCUUUCAAUCUUUGCCACAACGCCAACAACGCUGCUCCUCGUAUAGUACCAAUGCAGCCACCAAUUCAAUUGCUUCUACCUCCAAAGCCUCUGCCACCACUGCUUCGCCUUCCUUCGCCACCAGAGAAGACCUUGACGCCGUCAACAUCGCCGACGACGUCACCCAGCGGGUUUGGAUCUUCUGUGCAACAAGUAUUUGGAGGAAGCUAGAAUCAUCUUCAGAAGCAUUUAUGCUCUCAUUGAAUUUCAGAUUUAUGUUUUUUUGGAGAAUUGUUUUGUAUUUUAAUUUGAUUGGGCAAACACCGAUGAUAUAUCUCAACAAAGUUACAAAGGGCUGUGUGGCAAAUAUUGCUGCAAAACUUGAAUCUAUGGAGCCUUGCCGAAGUGUCAAGGAUAGAAUUGGUUAUAGUAUGAUAUCUGAUGCAGAAGAAAGUGGUGCAAUUUCUCCUGGGAAGAGCAUACUAGUUGAACCGACUAGUGGAAAUACAGGACUUGGUAUUGCUUUCGUUGCAGCAACCAAGGGAUACAAAGUCAUUGUCACCAUGCCUGCAUCCAUCAAUCUUGAAAGACGGGUUCUUCUUCGUGCAUUUGGAGCAGAGAUUGUUUUGACAGACCCAAUGAAAGGAAUAAAAGGGGCUGUUGAUAAAGCUGAAGAAAUUGUAUUGAGCAUGCCAAAUGCAUACAUGUUUAAACAGUUUGACACUAUUUCUAAUGCAAAGUUCAUUGAACUACAGGUCCACUUUGAAACCACAGGCCCAGAAAUAUGGGAGGAUACCAUGGGUAGCGUUGACAUCUUUGUUGCGGGAAUUGGAACUGGUGGAACUGUUACAGGCACUGGGCGCUAUUUGAAAAUGAUGAACAAAGGUAUCAAGGUUGUUGGAGUGGAACCUGCAGAAAGGAAUGUAAUAUCUGGAGAAAACCCAGGUUAUAUUCCUAGUAUUUUGGAUGUUAAUUUACUUGACGAGGUUUUGAAGAUUACCAAUGAUGAAGCUGUUGAAAUGGCAAGAAGGUUGGCAUUGGAGGAAGGUUUACUGGUUGGUAUAUCAUCAGGAGCUGCAGCUGUUGCUGCCGUAAACAUGGCAAAAAGGCCCGAGAAUGCUGGAAAACUCAUUGUUUAGUGCAGAAGGUAGGCAACUAUGUCAGAGUUGGAAACUUUGUUCUUUUGCUUUCCACAUCCAAUCGCUUAAUGCUGGUGGAAGAAAGCAGGAUUUCCUUUGGACUGGUAUUGGAGAAGAAUUAAAGUACAAUUUGGUGGAUUGGGGGCUUGCAAUCCUAUAUGAAGGCAACAUGCAAUGGUGAGUUGAUGCUGUCCUUGUGGUGUAGAACCAGAGAAGGAAGAUGGAAAGAAGAGGAAAGAAAGAGAGAAUGUAGAAAUUCUUCUGAACCUCCAAUAAAUUUCAUUACCCUCGAGCCUUGUAUAUGAGCAGACCAAAUUAAAUUGACAAUCCAAUAUGUUGUAUUUCCAAGCUUUGGUGAGAGGUAUAUUUCCACUGUUCUUUUUCAGUCUAUUCAUGAUGAAGUCAGAGAAAUGCAACAAAGAUAGUGUUCAACUUUGCUCACUUUUUUCAUUUAAAAGGCACAUUAAUCCAGAGAUAGCUUUCGAUGGAAUGAGAAAGACUGUUGUUUGAUCAAAGUGUUGAUGAGAAUGUUGUUCAAGUUCUGGUUGCCAAUGAGCUGCUUUUACCAUGCGCUUUCGUUCAUUGUGUGGCAAAGAAUUAGACAUAAAGAGGUGAAGAGUCGGCUUUCAACAACGGAGUCGAUCUAGCAGAAAGUUGUAUAUUAUGCUAAUAGUGAUACAUUUGCAAAGAGUUUGAAUCCAUACUCUUAUUGAUGAAUUAGAAGAUUUUGACAUCAUUUGUUUCAAUGGAAAUUACUUCCGGGUGGAGAACUCGAAUUCUCAGUUUAAGGGAAAAUUUUCUGGUAGGAAGAGGAAAAAUUUGCAAAAAAUUCUGAUAUUUUCACAUUGUUUUUAGUUGCUGCUUCAAUUAUUAUUUUUGCCAUA